This 540-nucleotide ribosomal RNA is filed under the name uncultured Klebsiella sp. RNAcentral describes it as "bacterial SSU rRNA". It matches the Rfam family "Bacterial small subunit ribosomal RNA", at positions 52 to 586 of the family's 1533-position model. Lineage: Bacteria; Pseudomonadati; Pseudomonadota; Gammaproteobacteria; Enterobacterales; Enterobacteriaceae. The record is from RNAcentral.
CACAUGCAGUCGAGCGAUAGCACAGAGAGCUUGCUCUCGGGUGACGAGCGGCGGACGGGUGAGUAAUGUCUGGGAAACUGCCUGAUGGAGGGGGAUAACUACUGGAAACGGUAGCUAAUACCGCAUAAUGUCGCAAGACCAAAGUGGGGACCUUCGGGCCUCAUGCCAUCAGAUGUGCCCAGAUGGGAUUAGCUAGUAGGUGGGGUAACGGCUCACCUAGGCGACGAUCCCUAGCUGGUCUGAGAGGAUGACCAGCCACACUGGAACUGAGACACGGUCCAGACUCCUACGGGAGGCAGCAGUGGGGAAUAUUGCACAAUGGGCGCAAGCCUGAUGCAGCCAUGCCGCGUGUGUGAAGAAGGCCUUCGGGUUGUAAAGCACUUUCAGCGGGGAGGAAGGCGUUAAGGUUAAUAACCUUGGCGAUUGACGUUACCCGCAGAAGAAGCACCGGCUAACUCCGUGCCAGCAGCCGCGGUAAUACGGAGGGUGCAAGCGUUAAUCGGAAUUACUGGGCGUAAAGCGCACGCAGCGGUCUGUCAA